UCCAUAUUAUUCAACUGUGUUUGUUUACAACAGGUAGUGAUGUCUCUGCUCUGAGAGAAAUACCCAGAGAGGAAGGUGCUGUUGUGGCAGUAUGUGACUGAUCAUUGAUCAAACAAACCCAACCCAGGCGUUUCUGUAUGGUUUGACAUGAAGCAAGCUUUGUUCACUUACUGUUGAACAUUGCAAAAUGAAGAUGAGUCAUAAUCACAUGACUACACAUGAACAGUCAAAUGCAUUUCAUUUCAACAUCAUUACAUGUUCCAAGAUAAUACAUGUGACUAAAUGUCUCAAUAUACCAACAAUUAGUACACAGACUUAUACAUUUCAUGAAUGUCGUAUUCACAUGUUAUGAAUACAUAAACUGCUGUGAAAUGGUGGAACAUACAAAUAAACACUGUCAAAUGAGCCAGGCCCAGCUCCACUCGUUAUUAACCCCUGGAUUACAAUAGGUAAACACAGGCCCAGCUCCACUCGUUAUUAACCCCUGGAUUACAAUAGGUAAACACAGGCCCAGCUCCACUCGUUAUUAACCCCUGGAUUACAAUAGGUAAACACAGGCCCAGCUCCACUCGUUAUUAACCCCUGGAUUACAAUAGGUAAACACAGGCCCAGCUCCACUCGUUAUUAACCCCUGGAUUACAAUAGGUAAACACAGGCCCAGCUCCACUCGUUAUUAACCCCUGGAUUACAAUAGGUAAACACAGGCCCAGCUCCACUCGUUAUUAACCCCUGGAUUACAAUAGGUAAACACAGGCCCAGCUCCACUCGUUAUUAACCCCUGGAUUACAAUAGGUAAACACAGGCCCAGCUCCACUCGUUAUUAACCCCUGGAUUACAAUAGGUAAACACAGGCCCAGCUCCACUCGUUAUUAACCCCUGGAUUACAAUAGGUAAACACAGGCCCAGCUCCACUCGUUAUUAACCCCUGGAUUACAAUAGGUAAACACAGGCCCAGCUCCACUCGUUAUUAACCCCUGGAUUACAAUAGGUAAACACAGGCCCAGCUCCACUCGUUAUUAACCCCUGGAUUACAAUAGGUAAACACAGGCCCAGCUCCACUCGUUAUUAACCCCUGGAUUACAAUAGGUAAACACAGGCCCAGCUCCACUCGUUAUUAACCCCUGGAUUACAAUAGGUAAACACAGGCCCAGCUCCACUCGUUAUUAACCCCUGGAUUACAAUAGGUAAACACAGGCCCAGCUCCACUCGUUAUUAACCCCUGGAUUACAAUAGGUAAACACAGGCCCAGCUCCACUCGUUAUUAACCCCUGGAUUACAAUAGCUAAACACAGGCCCAGCUCCACUCGUUAUUAACCCCUGGAUUACAAUAGCUAAACACAGGCCCAGCUCCACUCGUUAUUAACCCCUGGAUUACAAUAGGUAAACACAGGCCCAGCUC
This is a long non-coding RNA of Oncorhynchus keta (chum salmon), 1399 nucleotides long. RefSeq lists it as uncharacterized. Lineage: Eukaryota; Metazoa; Chordata; Actinopteri; Salmoniformes; Salmonidae. The record is from RefSeq and is a predicted model, not a curated record. The transcript is spliced from 4 exons.